RNAcentral lists this ribosomal RNA (420 nucleotides) under uncultured bacterium. RNAcentral's name for it is "bacterial SSU rRNA". It matches the Rfam family "Bacterial small subunit ribosomal RNA", at positions 356 to 773 of the family's 1533-position model. The record is from RNAcentral.
AAGGAAUAUUGGUCAAUGGACGCAAGUCUGAACCAGCCAUGCCGCGUGAAGGAUGAAGGUCCUCUGGAUUGUAAACUUCUUUUAUCUGGGACGAAACCCGGGCAUUCUUGCCCGAUUGACGGUACCAGAGGAAUAAGCACCGGCUAACUCCGUGCCAACAGCCGCGGUAAUACGGGGGGUGCGAGCGUUGUCCGGAAUCACUGGGCGUAAAGGGCGCGUAGGUGGUCUGAUAAGGGUGUGGUGAAAGUCCGGGGCUCAACCCCGGAUCUGCCGUGCCGACUGUCAGACUCGAGGACUGUAGAGGCAGGCGGAAUUCCGGGUGUAGCGGUGGAAUGCGUAGAGAUCCGGAGGAAGACCGGUGGCGAAGGCGGCCUGCUGGGCAGUUACUGACACUGAGGCGCGACAGCGUGGAGAGCAAAC